This 253-nucleotide ribosomal RNA is filed under the name uncultured bacterium. Its description in RNAcentral is "partial 16S ribosomal RNA". It matches the Rfam family "Bacterial small subunit ribosomal RNA", at positions 524 to 776 of the family's 1533-position model. The record is from RNAcentral.
UACGUAGGGUGCGAGCGUUAAUCGGAAUUACUGGGCGUAAAGCGUGCGCAGGCGGUUCGUUAUGUCUGUGGUGAAAGCCCUGGGCUCAACCUAGGAAUGGCCAUGGAAACUGGCGGGCUGGAGUAUGGCAGAGGGGGGUGGAAUUCCGCGUGUAGCAGUGAAAUGCGUAGAGAUGCGGAGGAACACCGAUGGCGAAGGCAGCCCCCUGGGCUAAUACUGACGCUGAGGCACGAAAGCGUGGGGAGCAAACAGG